RNAcentral lists this ribosomal RNA (253 nucleotides) under uncultured bacterium. RNAcentral describes it as "partial 16S ribosomal RNA". It matches the Rfam family "Bacterial small subunit ribosomal RNA", at positions 524 to 776 of the family's 1533-position model. The record is from RNAcentral.
UACGAAGGGGGCUAGCGUUGCUCGGAUUGACUGGGCGUAAAGGGCGCGUAGGCGGUUCGUACAGUCAGACGUGAAAUUCCUGGGCUCAACCUGGGGGCUGCGUUUGAUACGUGCGGACUUGAGUGCGGAAGAGGGUCGUGGAAUUCCCAGUGUAGAGGUGAAAUUCGUAGAUAUUGGGAAGAACACCGGUGGCGAAGGCGGCAUCCUGGGCCGGCAUUGACGCUGAGGCGCGAAAGCCAGGGGAGCAAACGGG